RNAcentral lists this ribosomal RNA (326 nucleotides) under uncultured Butyricicoccus sp. RNAcentral describes it as "bacterial SSU rRNA". It matches the Rfam family "Bacterial small subunit ribosomal RNA", at positions 355 to 693 of the family's 1533-position model. Lineage: Bacteria; Bacillati; Bacillota; Clostridia; Eubacteriales; Butyricicoccaceae. The record is from RNAcentral.
UGGGGAAUAUUGCGCAAUGGGGGGAAACCCGUGACGCAGCAACGCCGCGUGAUCGAAGAAGGUCUUCGGAUUGUAAAGAUCUUUUAUCAGGGACGAAGAAAGUGACGGUACCUGAUGAAUAAGCUCCGGCUAACUACGUGCCAGCAGCCGCGGUAAUACGUAGGGAGCGAGCGUUAUCCGGAUUUACUGGGUGUAAAGGGCGAGUAGGCGGGCUGGUAAGUUGGAAGUGAAAUGUCGGGGCUUAACCCCGGAACUGCUUUCAAAACUGCUGGUCUUGAGUGAUGGAGAGGCAGGCGGAAUUCCUAGUGUAGCGGUGAAAUGCGUAG